UUGAAUCGUACAAUAAAAAGGACUUUUGACUUUUAAUGUCGAAGCAUAGCGUAAAACUUUAUUAAAGGUGUCAUGAACAGAUUUAAAACUGUUGAUUUUGUUAGUUAAUGAUUUUUUGUUGAAUAAAAUUGUAGAUAACAAUAAACAGUUAAUAGUAAAGGUCUUGUGAGUCGUUUUGUUGAUGGCACAAUAAGAAGUAAUCUAUGUGCAGAAAUUUGUAUCUAGUUUUAGUUAAAAGACAGUUAAAAAUAUUUUAUUGCUCUGAGAGUGUUGUUACUUGGAAACGUAAAAAGCAACAUGAUUAACCUUAUCAACCAAACAACGCACAUAGCAAAGAUGUCUUGUCAAGAUUUUUUUCUAUAAGUCUGGAAAUAUGUGAUGAUAUAUGUUAAUAUUUAGCAUAUUGGUUACAUUAAAAUAUCUUAUGCAAUGUGUUAUUGUUAUAUGUUAUUGUUAUGAUGUUAUUGUUGUAAUGUUUUGUGUUGAGAGACAACUUGGUUUAUCUUUUCGAUUAAUUUCUAUUAUUAAAAAAGAUUAUUAAGUAGUAUUAUUCUUAAAA
Hydra vulgaris (swiftwater hydra) is the source of this 559-nucleotide non-coding RNA. NCBI's taxonomy places the organism in Eukaryota, Metazoa, Cnidaria, Hydrozoa, Anthoathecata, Hydridae. The record is from RefSeq and is a predicted model, not a curated record.